AGCACAUACUAGUAAAAUUACUUAUAACCAAAGCUUCAAGGGAAAUAUUGAGAGUAGACAGUGAGAAAAGGCACAGUACACUGAAAGAACACAGUGACAACUCACUGCUGACAACUUACAAAUCCAGGAGUCAAUGGAAUAACAUUUUUUUUAAGUGUUAGGGUUUUAUAUCCACCAAAAUUUCUCCCAAAGCAAAGGUGAAAUAAAUGAUUGCUGACAAAAAGAAACUCAAGAAAUUGAUUGCUAUCAUUCUUAUACUAAAAUAAAUACUGAAGAGAAUUCUUGGGACAAGAAUAAUGGGUGUCUGAGGUUGGGCCCUGCUUACAAGUUCCCUCUGUCAAGUGCAAGGCCUUUGGGUCAAAGACAAAAGCAGCCAGAGGAAUAUGUAGUGCUUCCAAGAGACCCAGUUCCCCCAGGACAAUGCAAUAAGUACUGAAGACAGUGCAGUGCUGGUAGGAUCACUGCUGGUAUAGAUUGAUGGAAAGGGAGAGUCCAGAGGAACCCUUUAUAUUUAUGGUCUGUUGAUAUUUAACAACAUUGCCAAGACAAUUCACUAGAGGAAAAAAAGACUCUUUUCCACAGAUGGUGCUGUGACAAUAGUUAUCCAUGUUCACAAAUACAGAGUUGGACUCCUUCUCACAACAGGUACAAAUAUUAACUCAAAAUGGAUCAAAUACUUAAAUUUAAAUAUAAAAAAUAUUUUUUACACUGAGUUAGGCAAUGCCUUGAUGGUGGCACAGCCUUUUCCCCCUGCAGCAGGAGUCACCUUCAUCCCUCAGUUGUGAAAAGCCAAGUGCAUCCCCAGUGGAGGGUGCAUAUGGGACCAAGGGUUCAAAGCUUCCAGUUUCUGUUGCCCUGCCAGACCUUGUGAUACACAGAUGAUACACAGUCCAGCAGCCUAAUGGUCUGUGGAGCAAAGUGAAGCAUUUAAUAUUCAGUUUAGCUAUUGCUGAGUGAUCACCCAAGUGAUGUUUGAGACUGACAUCCCACAGUAGGAGCAAAAAAUGUUGGAGAAAUGGAAACAGUCUAUUUCAGAAAGCCAGGCACAUCCUGAUCUCAGUAUUGUGUGGUCUGUCCCUGUAUGUCUGUUUGUAAUAAAACAUUCUUUAUCAAAAGCUAUUCUUGCAGUGUUUUUUCUGUUAAUAAAAAUGAUACACAUUCUAAAAGAAAUUUUUAGAAAAUAUGAAUAGAAAAAAUACCUCAUAAUCUUACUGCUCAACAAUACACAUUUCUAAGAUUUUGGGUGCAUUUCUUCAUAUGUAUAUGGGGAGAUAAAUAUAUGGAUUUUACCAUUUAAUAUUUCAAAUACACAAUUUGUUUAUUAUUUUUUUUAAUAAAGAACACCUUUAUUGAUUUCCUGAUCAGGAUACCUUGAAUUUCCCUGUCUAAUCCAUCCUGAC
RNAcentral lists this long non-coding RNA (1400 nucleotides) under Marmota monax (woodchuck). The record is from RNAcentral. Lineage: Eukaryota; Metazoa; Chordata; Mammalia; Rodentia; Sciuridae.